CUCUUUCCAACGCUGUACAAAAGGACAGAGGCUGUUCCCCAUGGCAGAAGGCAACCACAGAAAAAAGCCACUUAAGAUGUUGGAAUCCCUGGGCAAAGAUUUCCUCACUGGUGUUUUGGAUAACUUGGUGGAACAAAAUGUACUGAACUGGAAGGAAGAGGAAAAAAAGAAAUAUUAUGAUGCUAAAACUGAAGACAAAGUUCGGGUCAUGGCAGACUCUAUCCAAGAGAAGCAACGUAUGGCAGGACAAAUGCUUCUUCAAACCUUUUUUAACAUAGACCAAAUAUCCCCCAAUAAAAAAGGAUAUGGAGUCAGCGCUGAGGGCAUUUGCUACCAGACCAGAGCACAAGUCCUCUGACAGCACGUUCUUGGUACUCAUGUCUCAUGGCAUCCUGGAGGGAAUCUGCGGAACUGUGCAUGAUGAGAAAAAACCAGAUGUGCUGCUUUAUGACACCAUCUUCCAGAUAUUCAACAACCGCAACUGCCUCAGUCUGAAGGACAAACCCAAGGUCAUCAUUGUCCAGGCCUGCAGAGGUGCAAACCAUGGGGAACUGUGGGUCAGAGACUCUCCAGCAUCCUUGGAAGUGGCCUCUUCACAGUCAUCUGAGAACC
Molecule: small RNA, 612 nt
Filed under: Pan troglodytes (chimpanzee)
Lineage: Eukaryota; Metazoa; Chordata; Mammalia; Primates; Hominidae
Description: processed transcript
Source: RNAcentral